RNAcentral lists this ribosomal RNA (1023 nucleotides) under human gut metagenome. RNAcentral describes it as "bacterial SSU rRNA". It matches the Rfam family "Bacterial small subunit ribosomal RNA", at positions 334 to 1358 of the family's 1533-position model. The record is from RNAcentral.
AACUCCUACGGGAGGCAGCAGUGAGGAAUAUUGGUCAAUGGCCGAGAGGCUGAACCAGCCAAGUCGCGUGAAGGAAGAAGGAUCUAUGGUUUGUAAACUUCUUUUAUAGGGGAAUAAAGUGGAGGACGUGUCCUUUUUUGUAUGUACCCUAUGAAUAAGCAUCGGCUAACUCCGUGCCAGCAGCCGCGGUAAUACGGAGGAUGCGAGCGUUAUCCGGAUUUAUUGGGUUUAAAGGGUGCGUAGGUGGUGAUUUAAGUCAGCGGUGAAAGUUUGUGGCUCAACCAUAAAAUUGCCGUUGAAACUGGGUUACUUGAGUGUGUUUGAGGUAGGCGGAAUGCGUGGUGUAGCGGUGAAAUGCAUAGAUAUCACGCAGAACUCCGAUUGCGAAGGCAGCUUACUAAACCAUAACUGACACUGAAGCACGAAAGCGUGGGGAUCAAACAGGAUUAGAUACCCUGGUAGUCCACGCAGUAAACGAUGAUUACUAGGAGUUUGCGAUACAAUGUAAGCUCUACAGCGAAAGCGUUAAGUAAUCCACCUGGGGAGUACGCCGGCAACGGUGAAACUCAAAGGAAUUGACGGGGGCCCGCACAAGCGGAGGAACAUGUGGUUUAAUUCGAUGAUACGCGAGGAACCUUACCCGGGUUUGAACGUAGUCUGACCGGAGUGGAAACACUCCUUCUAGCAAUAGCAGAUUACGAGGUGCUGCAUGGUUGUCGUCAGCUCGUGCCGUGAGGUGUCGGCUUAAGUGCCAUAACGAGCGCAACCCUUAUCACUAGUUACUAACAGGUGAAGCUGAGGACUCUGGUGAGACUGCCAGCGUAAGCUGUGAGGAAGGUGGGGAUGACGUCAAAUCAGCACGGCCCUUACAUCCGGGGCGACACACGUGUUACAAUGGCAUGGACAAAGGGCAGCUACCUGGCGACAGGAUGCUAAUCUCCAAACCAUGUCUCAGUUCGGAUCGGAGUCUGCAACUCGACUCCGUGAAGCUGGAUUCGCUAGUAAUCGCGCAUCAGCCAUGGC